GCUAAUGGGGUACAAGUGGAAGUGAUGUGUACAAUUCCCUGGUUGUACCCUUAAAAGGAAGUUUACUUGUAUUCAUUCUAGUUUAGUCCUCUUUUCUGAAAUGAUUUUAUUUGUAAUUCUUUCUUCAGUCUUGUCACUUUAUUUCUAAGUUUUUCUUUUUUCUUUUUCUUUUUUGGUGAGGAAGAUGGGCCCUGAGCUGACAUCUGUGCCAAUCUUCCUCUAUUUUUUGUGAGAUGGCCCCACAGCAUGGCUUGAGGAGCUGUGCUAGGUCCACACCCAGCAUCCGAACCUGCAAACCCCAGCCUACAAAGCAGAGUGCAUGAACUUAACCCCUAUGCCACCGGGCCAGCCCCUCAAAGUUUUUCUAUUCUGAUUCAUGUUGUUAUCUCACAUCUGAUAUCAUCUUCUCAUUAUCUUUUAGCUCAUUUUGAGAUAGUAGUUACAUUUUAAAAUCUGUUUUGUGGGUGUAUCUUUCCAGCUCAUCUUUGUUGUCUGUAGAGAUGUUAUUUCGCUCCUUAUUCUCUCUUUUCUUAUGAUAACAUUGUAUGAGGUUUGGCCUAGAUAAUUGUCUAUUGCUUAUUUCUAUUUAAAGUUAGUUUUCCUGAACUUUCAGAAGGAGGCUGGCCAGACUUCCAGCAUAAGAUCAGCCCUGAGCUAACAUCUGCCACCAAUCCUCCUCUUUUUGCUGAGGAAGACUGGCCCUGAGCUAACAUCCAUGCCCAUCUUCUUCUACUUUAUAUGUGGGACGCCUACCACAGCAUGGCUUGCCAAACGGUACCAUGUCCAUACCCGGGAUCUGAACCAGCGAACCCCAGGCCACUGAAGUGGAAUGUGCGCACUUAACUGCUGCGCCACCAGGCUGGCCCCAAGAUUAGAGCCUAAGAUGGGGAUUCUUGUGUACAGGAUUUAUUGAGAGAGGGCUCUCAGAAUAAGGGAGCUGAGGGAAGCUGGAUAAGGGAGAGGAAGAAGCUAAGCAAGAAUGUGGUUCCAGCUGGAGUCUACUUGGGCCUGAUCCACCAGGCGCUCUGGAGCAUGAAUGGCCACAGAACUGGUUCAACCUUGAGGCAACUGGGCUGGGCUUUUGUACCCCUAUUUGAGCCAAUGAUUGGCUAUAAAUUGCCAGUUGGAGUGGCAAGUGGGGGCAUAAUCUCCCAGGUGAGAUGGCUCCUGUGAACUGAGGACAGUUCUCUGGAGAAGGGACAGCCAUGUGCUGCUGGCAGGCAACACUCAUAGAAGCUGGAGACGAGCACAUUGAUCUGUUAAAGGGGAUAUGGUUGGGGCACUUACCACAUACAAUAAUAUAUAGUAUUUUUAUUGCUUUAUAUUUGUAGUAUUUCAUGAUUUUAUAUAAAUUUAUUUUAUCUAUAACCAAUUUAGAAAUGUGUUUAAAAUAAUUUAU
RNAcentral lists this long non-coding RNA (1399 nucleotides) under Equus caballus (horse). RNAcentral's name for it is "lncRNA (ENSECAG00000049629.1)". Lineage: Eukaryota; Metazoa; Chordata; Mammalia; Perissodactyla; Equidae. The record is from RNAcentral.